This 284-nucleotide unclassified non-coding RNA is filed under the name Hevea brasiliensis (rubber tree). The record is from RNAcentral. Lineage: Eukaryota; Viridiplantae; Streptophyta; Magnoliopsida; Malpighiales; Euphorbiaceae.
GAAACAACAAUAUUUACAGAUGCUACAGUAAUUUAUGGGAAUGAAGGUGAGAUAAGAAGUGUAUAUAAAGAAAAGAAUUGUAAUCAGAGGAGGCAGAGGAGGGGAAAGCUUGUUGAUACCUCAAGUUCUACACUGGAAACAGCGUUCAUCGUAAAUGACGAUGUUGCCAAUAAAGAUUGUACUGUGGUAAGUGAUGGGAAGCAAGGUGAUAUGGGGAGUGCAUAUAAAGAAGUGACUGGUAGUUGUAGAAAGAGAAUAAAGUUUUCAGAUCAUGUGAAUGCCAC